This 250-nucleotide ribosomal RNA is filed under the name uncultured bacterium. RNAcentral describes it as "partial 16S ribosomal RNA". It matches the Rfam family "Bacterial small subunit ribosomal RNA", at positions 809 to 1058 of the family's 1533-position model. The record is from RNAcentral.
AUGAGUGUUAGGUGUCUGGAGUAAAUCUGGGUGCCGCAGCUAACGCAUUAAACACUCCGCCUGGGGAGUACGCACGCAAGUGUGAAACUCAAAGGAAUUGACGGGGACCCGCACAAGCAGCGGAGCAUGUGGUUUAAUUCGAAGCAACGCGAAGAACCUUACCAAGUCUUGACAUAUUUUGGAAACACUUAGAGAUAAGUGCCUAUAUCUUCGGAUAACUGAAAUACAGGUGGUGCAUGGCUGUCGUCAG